AUGGCUCGUACAGCUAGCUGUGGAGUAUUUUUUCUUUUAAAGAUCCAGCGAUCGCUGGCUUGUAUUAGAAAGCAGAUAGCACAUGGUGAAAAACAUCGAGGAAGGCUGUGAUCACAUGAUCAAGGAAGUAAUAAAAAGAAUAUAAAAAGGAAAACUUUGAGAGCUAAAGCUAUCUUUCACGGUGGUUUCCCAAACGGGUGCUCCAAUGAGGUCGCGCCUGCUUCGCGCCAAAGUCUUAGGAUUUUUGUGAUUUCCUCUUUGAUGUCUUGGACUUUUGCUU
Molecule: long non-coding RNA, 280 nt
Filed under: Hordeum vulgare
Lineage: Eukaryota; Viridiplantae; Streptophyta; Magnoliopsida; Poales; Poaceae
Description: long non-coding RNA (HVUL_LNC019942)
Source: RNAcentral